GGGCCCGCACAAGCGGAGGAACAUGUGGUUUAAUUCGAUGAUACGCGAGGAACCUUACCCGGGCUUGAAAUGUAUCUGAUUAACUUGGAAACAGGUUAUCUAGCAAUAGCAGAUAUGUAGGUGCUGCAUGGUUGUCGUCAGCUCGUGCCGUGAGGUGUCGGCUUAAGUGCCAUAACGAGCGCAACCCCUAUCGAUAGUUACUAACAGUUUAAGCUGAGGACUCUAUUGAGACUGCCACCGUAAGGUGUGAGGAAGGUGGGGAUGACGUCAAAUCAGCACGGCCCUUACGUCCGGGGCGACACACGUGUUACAAUGGGAGGUACAGAGGGUCGCGUACCUGGUGACAGGAUGCCAAUCUCGUAAAACCUCUCUCAGUUCGGAUCGGAGUCUGCAACUCGACUCCGUGAAGCUGGAUUCGCUAGUAAUCGCGCAUCAGCCAUGGCG
Molecule: ribosomal RNA, 444 nt
Filed under: uncultured Bacteroidota bacterium
Lineage: Bacteria; Pseudomonadati; Bacteroidota
Description: bacterial SSU rRNA
Rfam family: Bacterial small subunit ribosomal RNA
Source: RNAcentral